UGUGGAAAAGAUGGCAUCAUUCCUGAAGGGAACACAGAGAAUCGGGUGGCACGAAGACAAAAGCCCUCUGGAUUGCUGCAAGAAGUGUCCUCAGGUUCAUUGUUGUAUGAGGAAAAGAACAGCUCCCCUAAAGAUCAAAAACACAGAAAUUGUGUGGAAUCACAGAGAAGGGAAAGGCUGAGAGAAUCGGAGGAGAAGCUGCAGUAACACAACUGCCACAAAUUCAAGCAAAAGCAUCAAAACCUGAUAACGAGAGAGACAAGCUAGAGCUCUCUGUGAGCCCUCCGCGGACAUCUUUCUAAACCCAAGUCAGAUCUACGUGGGGAAGCUUGCAGCAGAGUGAUGCCUGUCCUGUGUCACCUGGUUUUUAUUAGAUGUACUGAAUGUGUUGAUGGAAGAGGAAACAGACAGUAGAGAGGAAAGGGAGAGAGCGAAGGGAGGUGGGAUUUUCGCAGCACUGAAAGUGCCCAGAUUUGAAAAGAGACAGGCAAUCCUGAGUUCAAACCCUGCCUGUUCCACUUACGGCCUCUGUUACUUGAACCUGUUCUCCGCACUCUGAACAGAGAUAAUGAAUCUGUAUCACAGGGUUAUUAUGCUGUAGAUAACCCUAUCUAUAUCACAAGGAGAACACAGGGAACAACAAAUAAAGUAUGCAAAAUUUGCUUCCUUUCUUUUUCUGUUGUUUGGUGAAGAAGAUGAUUAGGGCAAGAAUUUUUAAAAAAUAAAAUUAUUUUUAGCAUCAUUUAAAGACCAAG
This 755-nucleotide long non-coding RNA is filed under the name Callithrix jacchus (white-tufted-ear marmoset). RNAcentral describes it as "lncRNA (ENSCJAG00000068462.2)". Lineage: Eukaryota; Metazoa; Chordata; Mammalia; Primates; Cebidae. The record is from RNAcentral.